AUCCAGUUGACGAAUCCCAAAUAGGAUAGAACGCGUGUCCUGUAU
Non-coding RNA from Schistosoma mattheei, 45 nucleotides. NCBI's taxonomy places the organism in Eukaryota, Metazoa, Platyhelminthes, Trematoda, Strigeidida, Schistosomatidae. The record is from Rfam.